Molecule: unclassified non-coding RNA, 992 nt
Filed under: Hevea brasiliensis (rubber tree)
Lineage: Eukaryota; Viridiplantae; Streptophyta; Magnoliopsida; Malpighiales; Euphorbiaceae
Source: RNAcentral
UGCAAGGUUUCCAACAAAUAAUCAUCUGAAGGCUGAAGUGACUCAGUUGGUGCAAUUGCAUAUAUUGGAGAUACGUCAUAUACCUGAAGCUUUGCCAUACUUUGUUACACCUAAAGCCAUUGACGAAAAUUCAACACUUCUACAACAAUUGCCGCACUGGGCUGCAUGCUCAAUUACACAGGCACUGGAGUUUCUCACACCAGCAUACAAGGGUCAUCCACGUGUCAUGGCUUAUGUUCUAAGGGUGUUGGAGUCUUACCCUCCUCAAAGAGUAACUUUCUUCAUGCCUCAACUGGUGCAGGCUCUGAGAUAUGAUGACGAGAAAUUGGUGGAAGGAUACUUGCUCAGAGCUACUCAAAGGAGUGACAUAUUUGCUCAUAUUCUGAUAUGGAAUCUGCAGGGUGAGACUUGUGAGCCAGAGGGGGCGAAAGAUUCUUCUGCAAAGCAUGCUGCAUUCUUGGCCCUACUUCCUCUUGUGAGGCAACGAAUAAUUGAUGGGUUCAAUGAAAAGGCUAGUGAUGUGUUUCGAAGAGAGUUUGAUUUCUUUGAUAAGGUCACGUCUAUAUCUGGCGCACUUUAUCCACUUCCCAAGGAGGAGCGAAGAGCUGGUAUUCGGAGGGAGCUUGAGAAAAUUGAGAUGCAAGGAGAUGAUCUGUAUCUACCUACUGCUCCUAAUAAAAUCGUGAAAGGGAUUCAGGUUGAUAGUGGAAUUCCCUUGCAAUCAGCUGCCAAGGUUCCUAUUAUGAUCACAUUUAAUGUGGCAGAUCAAGACGGCGAUCAAAAUGACAUAAAACCCCAAGCUUGUAUAUUCAAGGUUGGAGAUGAUUGUCGGCAAGACGUUCUUGCUUUACAAGUUAUUUCACUUCUGAAAGAUAUCUUUGAAGCUGUUGGGCUUAGUCUUUAUUUAUUUCCUUAUGGAGUUCUCCCAACUGGCCCAGAAAGAGGAAUAAUUGAGGUCGUACCCAACACACGGAGCAGAAGUCAGAUGGGUG